UGCCACCAUAUAUCUUUCCCUCUCCCUCUCCCUCUCCCUCUUUUCUCUUCCCCCUCUCUCUCCAGCUUUCUGCCUGUCUCUCUCCUUAUGUGUGUCUCUCACAUGUCAAAUUUCGUAAACCGGCUCGGCUGAACGAAUAUUGUUUUGCUGUACAUUAUAUACCGACCAACACACCUACCCAACAUUAUCUAUCUAUCUAUCUAUCUAUCUAUCUAUCUAUCUAUCUAUCUAUCUAUCUUCACUGCCUUAUACUGUACUAAACUAUAACACUUCAAUAUUGACAGCAAACAAGUACAACACAAAACCUUUUGGGUCUUGUUUCGAAUAACAUGCACUGAUAUCAAAUAUUCCAUACAGCACCUUAAUUUCCAUAUACUUAAAAACAAUACAGAGAAUAUCUAUAAGCUAAACACCACACCUAACUGACAUUAGAGAACAAAAUAUAAAUACACAAAUAGACCACAAGUUGUUCAUAACAAAUCAAUUUAUGAUAAAAGGACAAAACGAGAACUAUAUAAUAACGAAUGCAAAGACAAAUAUCAGAUAAAAUAUACGUAAAAAUUAACAUAAAAGUGGAAAACCAAUUUUAAAGGAAAUUUGUUAAGCUCAACUUCGUAGUUAUAAUAAAAGACCAAACAGAUAAUUAUAAUAAUAGAUACUAGAUAAGAAAAGGCAAAACAAAUCAUUGUAAUAAUAAUAAUAGUAAAUAUUGUAUAUAUACAUAUAUAAAUAAAUAAAUAUAUAUAUAUUAUACAAUCAUCGUUAAGAAAGCAUAAGACAACAUAAAUAUAAACAGAGAACGUACAGUCAUUGUCAAGUAUAAGGAAGUGUAGGAAGGGCAGAUAAAAAAGACAGGAAGAAAAGAAAGAAGGAAGGAAAGAAAGAAGGCAAGGCGGAAGAAGCAGAGUUACGUACAGAGACUGGAAGACACGAACUUGAGUGACAAAGUGCUUAUACAACAUUGCUGAUGGCUUCAUCUAAGGUAAAUA
RNAcentral lists this long non-coding RNA (989 nucleotides) under Octopus vulgaris (common octopus). The record is from RNAcentral. Lineage: Eukaryota; Metazoa; Mollusca; Cephalopoda; Octopoda; Octopodidae.